AGAACUGCAGAUAGUACAGCUUCCACAGGAGCAAGGGAUGUCUGAGCACAAGUGGCUGAGUUCCGAGUGACUUUAUGAAGCACUUUCUACCUUCCUCUCCGGCAUGAAAACAGGGAUUCUGCACCUGCAUCAUGGACAGUCUGGCAAAAGCCUCUGCUCUGCCUCCGGGGACAAGAAACUAGAGCAAAUAACCGUUUUGAAAUUGUAAGUAUACCUUUCUUUCCGUCAAGUGUACUGAUUAAAAUAGUUUUAUGUCAUAAACAUCCAAUAUUUGAAGAUUUCUUAAGGGUACUCUUUCAUGUGUAUAUUGAAGGUUAUUCAGCUGGCAGGAAAAUAUUCCAGGGACAAUUGUUGCAUACUUUAUUCUGUUGAGGAUAAAGAAUUAAAAAUAAAAGUCAGGCAUUCCAAAGAGUAGCUGUAGGAGGCUGUGCGCUGGAACAUCGCUCUAGUGUGCUGCUUUGUUCAUAAGAAAAAAUGAAGGCACACGCAUAUGUACUUAGUUCACUUCUUUUUGCUCUUUAUGUCUAAUCAGAUUUGCUCUGUCCCCAAGAAAAAUAAAAGACAAACUUUGCUGACUCCACUGACAAGGGCACCAUAGACUUUCCAGACAUCUGACAGUUAUUAUAAUUAGCUAUGAAAGACUGCAAAGACACUUGGGGGCAAAUAGCUCUUAAAUUCUGAACAAUGGCUUCAAGCCAGGGCUUUAUAUGUUUUUUUAACCACCACUUUUAAUUUUAUAAUAAGGAUAGAGACUGAACUGGUUUCGGUGUUGUAGUCCACACAAUGUGAAAUAAAGUCCCAGCAGAAGUGAAGGCGACUGAAAGUGGCCAGUGUAAAGACAGAAGGAAAAGACAGCUUUCUGUCUUAGGAUCUAGCCUUCCAUGUAUAAAGAUUUUUUUUUUUUUUGAAAUUCCUAAUAGGGUGGAGUGAGGAUGUGGGGGUGGGGAGGAAGCAUGCGGAAGCUUCUUUAUAGAAGAAUGCUUGAAGAAUAAAAUAAUUUGGCAUUUCUUCUUUCUAGCAAGCAAAAGAUAUGAUUAGCAUCUAAGUUCCUUACAUUCAUAGUGAGGUUUUUUGAUGGAGUUCAAACAGAAGCAACAUACAAUGCAGUUUUUAAAUUUAUAAAAUAAUUGGAAACAAAUGGAUAGAAUGUUCCUGCAUUACUGCUUUCUUUUUAUAUUCAGCUACAGUAAUCUAGCAAUACAUUAUGCCUUUACUUUUAGAAUUAUCCACAUCCUUAAAAAGUUAUAAGCUAAGUCUUAUAAGAAAUUAAAAGGCAAAUCACACCAGUGUGAUUAUGACUGAUGAAGAUUUUGAAUGACAAAGCCUCCAACAAAAAGAGUUUGUGAAAAACAUUGUCCUCCUCAUUUUUAAAAGAGAAUAUUAACUCCAUCAAUUAUUGAAAGGAAUUAUUCAAAGGCUCCAGACAUAACUAAUUAUGGCUUAAAGAGAGCUGCCAGAGCAGAGCCUGUGUUCUAAUUAUAAAAGUCCAAGACGUUAGGAUUCAUUUUCUUAAGGAGGGCUUGAAAAUAAAUACAAAUUUUCACAUAAUCUUAUAAAAAUACACCAUUUUUUUUCUUUGUCUGCUCUCAUGUUAUCUACACCUCCCCCACCGCCGCCCACUGUGUGCUGAGACACCUGAAGGCUAGACAUAAUGAUCAACAGAGCUCCAGCCUGUCUGGACUCCAGCCAGAUUUUUUUCCCCUUCUACAAUCAAGGAGCUUGCACGCAAUGCAUGCCGAGCCUAUUCCACUGCUAUGUGCAGAUCCGGGAUGGAAGUCUUACACAUACUGCGGAAAGAUUAAAGACAACAAUAUCCCCUUUCUCUUACCCUAGACAGCCUCAAUUUUUAACCCUU
Molecule: long non-coding RNA, 1855 nt
Filed under: Homo sapiens (human)
Lineage: Eukaryota; Metazoa; Chordata; Mammalia; Primates; Hominidae
Description: non-protein coding lnc-ATP6V1G3-4:14
Source: RNAcentral